CCUACGGGGGGCUGCAGUGAGGAAUAUUGGUCAAUGGGCGGAAGCCUGAACCAGCCAUCCCGCGUGCAGGAAGACGGCCCUAUGGGUUGUAAACUGCUUUUCCAGGGGGCGAAACUUUCCGAUGUAUCGGGAUUUGACGGUACCCUGGGAAUAAGCAUCGGCUAACUCCGUGCCAGCAGCCGCGGUAAUACGGAGGAUGCGAGCGUUAUCCGGAUUUAUUGGGUUUAAAGGGUGCGUAGGCGGAUCGAUAAGUCAGUGGUGAAACCCUGCAGCUUAACUGUAGACUUGCCGUUGAUACUGUUGGUCUUGAGUGUGGUCAAGGUAGGCGGAAUGUGUAAUGUAGCGGUGAAAUGCUUAGAUAUUACACAGAACACCGAUUGCGAAGGCAGCUUACUGGGCCAUUACUGACGCUGAUGCACGAAAGCGUGGGGAUCGAACAGGAUUAGAUACCCUAGUAGUC
Molecule: ribosomal RNA, 460 nt
Filed under: uncultured Bacteroidales bacterium
Lineage: Bacteria; Pseudomonadati; Bacteroidota; Bacteroidia; Bacteroidales
Description: bacterial SSU rRNA
Rfam family: Bacterial small subunit ribosomal RNA
Source: RNAcentral